RNAcentral lists this long non-coding RNA (2418 nucleotides) under Scophthalmus maximus (turbot). RNAcentral describes it as "lncRNA (ENSSMAG00000028625.1)". The record is from RNAcentral. Lineage: Eukaryota; Metazoa; Chordata; Actinopteri; Pleuronectiformes; Scophthalmidae.
CAGUGGGCGUGUCUGCUGCUCUCAUCACUCUCACUGUGGCCAUUAUGAUCAGUAAGAACAUGCACAGAGUUGACGUGGAGUCUGUGGAAGUAGCAAACAAGGUACAGUAAUCACUGUGUGAUUAUUUUUUCAUUCAUCUCAAAAUGACUCAACAUAAGUUCUUCUUUAACCUGCUGCUAAAAUCACACUUAAUACAUAAAUUUAAAAUAUUUAAACAAUGAUCCAAAUUAAUACUUUAAAUGAGACAGUUGUCUGUGGUGUGUGAUUGUAAUUCUUUAGGUUCCCAUGUUUGUGUGUGUGUAUGUGUGUGUGCAUAUGUGUGACCCCCAGCGUCCGUCAUUGACGCUGACACCAUGUUCUAUGAGUCAACCCAACACACUGUCCCAGUGAGGAAAGGCAAAAUGUCUGACAUACCGGAAGAGCCUGAGGACAUGAGUGACAGCUCCCACCCCUCCAUCGUUCCUCUAAAGGAUGCUCCACCAAUCACAGAAGUUGAAACCUGCAACCCCGGCCCCAACCACUUCACCGUCCACUACACCAGGUUGUCCAGUGCAGACCAGGUGCAGGUCCACAGCCUGCCACGAGGUGGCGAUAGAAAACCAAAGGACUCCCCCAAAGUUGUUUACGCCUUACUGCCCCAGCCCGGCCCCUGAACUGAAGGAUACAGCUGCUGAACAAGACAUAAUCCGUCCUCCUGUGAACCAGUCACUUUGCUUCCAUCUGUGCAGAGACGGCUGUGGAAACCACAGACGGCUCCUUGUGAACUGUAGAUGACUUAUGCUGUUCUGGGUCAGACGUGUUGUUACGGGAUUCUCCACGGUUCUUCAGACCCUGAGGGCAACUCGAGGCCGGGGGUCCUGCCACUGUGUUGCAUGUCUUUUCUUCGUUUUUGUUUUGUUUGUUUUUUUUUGGGGGGGGAGGAGGGGUUCUCUGCUAUGAAUCUUACCACAAUAUUCUGUCUGAUGAAGUGAAAGUGUUCAAAAGCAGAAACAAGGAAUACUUUAUUGAUUCCCAGGGAGAAUGUGGUUUUGUUACAGUUGCUCCAAACAAAAAUAUGAACAUAUACAGACCCUAAAAUUAUAAUAAAUAGAAAUAUAGUAUAUAAAUAUGAAGUAUGUCAAAUUAUGUGCAUUAUCCUACAAUAUAUAUAUAUAUACACACAACAGCUUGUGGUAAUUGCUAUGCAAAUAUUAACAAGAAAUAACAAUAAACCGGUGUAGAUAAACAGUAAUAGGUCUGUAAGGGGCUAUUGACUCAGAGUGUCUGACAGUCUGAGGGAGGAGUCUGAUGACCACAGGCAUGUGGCGCAAGGUGGCGCCUAUCAGUGGAAUACUGUAAGUCUCUUGCUUACUGUACUCCUGUGCUUAGCCAGCAUGUCCUGGAGUGAGUGGGAGACAUUGUCCAAAGAUAGCCUGUGACUUGGACGGCAUGUUGAAUCCGUCGGUGUCUGCUACCCUCAACCCCCCGCUUCCCCAUAGCACAUAACAGCCAUGUGGCCCACCACAGACUCAUCAUCGUCCGGCAGAUGUUGAAGGAUCUCAGCCUCCACAGAAAAUUAGGGACCGCUCUGGCCCUUCUUGUAGACGGCUUCGGUGAUCUUGGUCCACAGAGGCCCCCCCUGGAUGGAGACAGGGCUCGCCAGGUCCUUGGUUUCUCCUCCGAAUCCACAACCCAGCUCCCUGUGUCACAUUGAGCUGCCGAUGGUUCCGCUCACACUGUAACAAGCUGCAUGCGCGGUCAAUGCAUGAAAGGAAAGGCUAAAUAGGGAGCAUCAACACCAAUAGCCAUUUUACCUGCAUUCAUAUCCAUAUUUAAAUAAUGCUUCACACUAACAUUUGCUCUCAAGAAUAUGUAGAUGGCACAAUGUGCGUUAACCUUUGCAACCUCCGACUACUGGAAAGUGAUAAUCUUUUGUAUUCAAACAUCAUUGUCCCCAAUAAAAGUGACAGGGUGUUAUUGAACACAAUAGCGGAGAAAAGCAGACGUCAACAAAGAAUAUGCAAUAUUUGACAUGAGUUUCCCCACUGUAUUCUACAAUGUUCCACGUAGGCUUGUUCUGAACGCCAAUGCUGCAACACUUAUUCAGUUUACACAGCUCGCUUUCAUUAAAUCAGUCGUUCCAUUUUUACUGUACGUAGUGUACGCUACGCCGGGAACGCUUCAAAAUUACACAUUGUAGUUUGUUACCCUAAAGCAAAAUAAAAGAAAAUGUCACAACUUGAAUGUGUGUUGUAGUUUUUCUGCGGGUCCCAAACAGUUAACACUGAGGACAGAUUAGUGAUGCGUUAAGUGUGGGGGGACUGUCAGCAGAAUAGUUAAGGGGAAACAGUGUUUGCGCUUCAGUGCAUUUUAUUUUGAAUUUCCUAUGAGAGCAGAACAAAAUGUUUCAGUCCCCCUCCCCCCUCCAAACCUCGAAAG